RNAcentral lists this ribosomal RNA (252 nucleotides) under uncultured bacterium. Its description in RNAcentral is "partial 16S ribosomal RNA". It matches the Rfam family "Bacterial small subunit ribosomal RNA", at positions 524 to 775 of the family's 1533-position model. The record is from RNAcentral.
GACGAGGGACCUAGCGUUGUUCGGAAUCAUUGGGCGUAAAGAGUAUGUAGGCGGCCUUGUAAGUCAGUUGUGAAAGCCCCGGGCUCAACCCGGGAAGUGCAAUUGAUACUGCUUGGCUUGAAUGUGGAAGAGGGCAGUAGAAUUCCAGGUGUAGUGGUGAAAUACGUAGAUAUCUGGAGGAACACCAACGGCGAAGGCAGCUCUCUGGGACGUAACUGACGGCUGAGACGCGAAAGCGUGGGGAGCAAACAG